CCUACGGGAGGCUGCAGUGAGGAAUAUUGGUCAAUGGACGAGAGUCUGAACCAGCCAAGUAGCGUGAAGGAUGACUGCCCUAUGGGUUGUAAACUUCUUUUAUAUGGGAAUAAAAUGUUCCACGUGUGGGAUUUUGUAUGUACCAUAUGAAUAAGGAUCGGCUAACUCCGUGCCAGCAGCCGCGGUAAUACGGAGGAUCCGAGCGUUAUCCGGAUUUAUUGGGUUUAAAGGGAGCGUAGGUGGAUUGUUAAGUCAGUUGUGAAAGGUUGCGGCUCAACCGUAAAAUUGCAGUUGAAACUGGCAGUCUUGAGUACAGUAGAGGUGGGCGGAAUUCGUGGUGUAGCGGUGAAAUGCUUAGAUAUCACGAAGAACUCCGAUUGCGAAGGCAGCUCACUGGACUGCAACUGACACUGAGGCUCGAAAGUGUGGGUAUCAAACAGGAUUAGAUACCCCAGUAGUC
This 460-nucleotide ribosomal RNA is filed under the name uncultured bacterium. RNAcentral's name for it is "partial 16S ribosomal RNA". It matches the Rfam family "Bacterial small subunit ribosomal RNA", at positions 338 to 795 of the family's 1533-position model. The record is from RNAcentral.